Molecule: ribosomal RNA, 1412 nt
Filed under: metagenome
Description: bacterial SSU rRNA
Rfam family: Bacterial small subunit ribosomal RNA
Source: RNAcentral
GGCAUGGUUAAAGCAUGCAAGUCGCACGAGAACCCUUCGGGGGGAAAGUGGCGAAAGGGCGAGUAAUGCGAUCGAACGUACCCUGAGGUGGGGAAUAGCGUCGGGAAACCGGCAGUAAUGCCCCAUGUGCUUUACGGAGGAAAGCUUUGGCGCCUCAGGAGCGGCGAUCGUCCUAUCAGGUAGUUGGUGAGGUAACGGCUCACCAAGCCGAAGACGGGUAGCGGGUGUGAGAGCAUGACCCGCCGCAUCGGAACUGAGACACUGUCCGGGCUCCUACGGGAGGCUGCAGCGACGAAUCUUCCGCAAUGGGCGAAAGCCUGACGGAGCAAUGCCGCGUGUGGGAUGAAGCAUCUUCGAUGUGUAAACCACUGUCAGAUUCUAGGACCAACGACCAGAAUCAAAGGAAGGGCCGGCUAACCUCGUGCCAGCAGCCGCGGUAAUACGAGGGGCCCAAGCGUUAAUCGGAAUCACUGGGCUUAAAGCGUGCGCAGGCGGCCUUGCAAGCAUCUCGUGAAAUCCCACGGCUCAACCGUGGAACUGCGGGGUGAACUGCAAGGCUUGAGGCAGGUAGGGGCUGAUGGAACCAUGAGUGGAGCGGUGAAAUGCGUAGAUAUUCAUGGGAACGCCGAUGGGGAAGCCGAUCAGCUGGGCCUGUCCUGACGCUCAGGCACGAAAGCGUGGGGAGCAAACAGGAUUAGAUACCCUGGUAGUCCACGCCGUAAACGAUGCACACUAGAUCGGGGCCGUUCUGACACGGUCCCGGUCGAAGGAAAACUGUUAAGUGUGCCGCCUGGGGAGUACGGUCGCAAGGCUAAAACUCAAAGGAAUUGACGGGGGCUCACACAAGCGGUGGAGCAUGUUGCUUAAUUCGAGGCAACGCGAAGAACCUUAUCCUAGGCUUGACAUGUAUGGAUUAGUAUAUGGAAACAUAUAUGACGCCCUUGGGUGGAACAUACACAGGUGCUGCAUGGCUGUCGUCAGCUCGUGCUGUGAAGUGUCGGGUUAAGUCCCUUAACGAGCGCAACCCCUAUCGUUAGUUGCUAUCGCGUCAUGGCGAGUACUCUAGCGAGACUGCCGGUGUCAAACCGGAGGAAGGUGGGGAUGACGUCAAGUCCUCAUGGCCUUUAUGUCUAGGGCUGCAAACGUGCUACAAUGGCAUGGACAGAGCGAGGCGAUCCUGCGAAGGGGAGCAAAUCGCAAAAACCAUGCCCCAGUUCGGAUAGCAGGCUGCAAUUCGCCUGCUUGAAGUUGGAAUCGCUAGUAAUCGCGGAUCAGCAACGCCGCGGUGAAUGUGUUCCUGAGCCUUGUACACACCGCCCGUCACGUCAUGGAAGCCGGGAGUGCCCGAAGUCACCUCGAUUCAGGGGUGCCUACGGCAAGUUCGGUGACUGGGACGGAGUCGUAACAAGGUA